This is a long non-coding RNA of Dromaius novaehollandiae (emu), 5446 nucleotides long. RefSeq lists it as uncharacterized. NCBI's taxonomy places the organism in Eukaryota, Metazoa, Chordata, Aves, Casuariiformes, Dromaiidae. The record is from RefSeq and is a predicted model, not a curated record. The transcript is spliced from 2 exons.
CCCCGCACCCCCAAACCGCUGCCACCCCUCCGGCAGGCUUGGCGGUGAGGUGGGUGCUGGGCGGCGGCGAGGCGCCUCGCACCCCCCGAGCCCGCCCCGGGUUCCGCUCCGCUCUGCUGCCCCGGGCGGGGAGGGCGCUCGGGCUGCCGGAGGAGGCCGCUGCCCCUAGGGCGGGGGGAGCCGCGGCCUGAGGCUGGGGCGCGGGCCGUUAGCCGGGGCCGUGCCCGCGGCUUGGGUGCCGGCGGGGCCGCGGUGUUACGGGCGUUAUUGCUUAGCUCCGCCCGGGCGGGACCGCCGGGGCGCGGGGGGCUGGAAUGUAAAGGAACGAAGGCCACUGCAGUGAGAAGCAUUAGCUUUAGGGCACUAAGCACUGCUGAUCUCUGUCUAAAUUCCGUCCGAGUGCUGCUCUCGGAGGCUUAGGGUAUGUCUGCAAGGAGAGCUCGAUAAGCCUCGAGCCUGCGCUAACACCGCAGCCGGCCUUACGGCACGUGCAGCUCAGUCCAGAGCAUGCCCGAGCCGCACUGAGAGGCACGGGGGAAAGGCUGGGGCCAACCUUUUGUCCGGUGCCAGAGCACACAGCUCACACCACCUGCAUGUGAAGCACAGCUGCUGUUCCACCUCAGCUGAGAUGUGCUGCCUGACUGGGGAUACUGCUAAGAGGUUUUAGGGCACUUUCUUCUGUCUUCCCCAUACGAACUUUACAUUUUUUGCUCUGUCUCUGGCUCCAUGAAACUUACUUUUUUGGCUGAUAGAGGCACAACUUCAACAGGAAUAAUGCAGAGGUCCCCUACCCUGCUUGUCCCUUCCCAGACCUUGCCUGGAGAAUAAAACACUGUCCUAGCAAGGGUGAGAAACGGCUUUGAGACUCUACAAAAAGGAAGGAAUCUCCUGUUCUCCAACCAGGUGCUGUAGCCAUUGAAUUAUGUAAGACUGUAGGCAGAUCUACCGUUUACAUGUUUUGUUGAAGGGAAAGGGCUACUGCUAACUUCUGUCUGAACAAACUUCUCAGGUGGGCUCUAAGUCUGCCUUCCAGACUGAGUACCUUGGGCACUUGGGGGAAAGUACUUCUUAUUGGUGGAUGUAAGUGUAGUUUAAUUUUGAGCUGAGUCUUGGAUCUCAAGCCAGGAGAGAUGCAGAUUUGGUCAUGAGCAGAUAUAUUGUGGGAAUUUGAAGUAUUAUGUGAGCUUGACUAUUGAACACAGAAGCACUUAAGGGCAUUUUUAUGGGCAGUCAUUUCAAGAGCUACACUGAAGAUUCGGGCAUUUACUUGCUAUCUUUUUGCACAUCGGUCACCUCAUAGUGAAGAUGAGCCUUUGCCUGUUGCCAGUGUGAGGAGUUAGUAGCUUUUGCAUGUGCCCAGGAGAAAACUGUCAAGCACCUGGUCAGCCAUGCCAGUCGGUGUCAUUAGAUCUAGACAAAUGUCUGUUAGACAUUAGGGCACCUCCAACUUAGGCAUUCCCUUAGAAGAAGAUUUGAAGUCUGUGUUUUGAACUUAGCUAAGUGACAGCUGGGUGCCUGGUUAUUUUGUGGAUUUAGUGCUAAGCUUAUAUGUGGAGUCAGUAGUGGUGUCAAUUCAGUUGUUCAAGUCUUGAAGACUGGUGCUCUGAUCAUCAGAUAAAGUCUGUCUUUGUGAGAUGCAUGAAUUUCAUCUCAAAGUCACUGGUUUGAUUCCUAUCCAAGCUAAAAGAAGACUUUCAUUUAUUUUAAAACAUCAUGUAUUCGGUUCACCAAGAUGCACAAUUAUCAUUAACGUUUCAUUUCAGUUUCACUGUCUUUCUCCUGAUAUGGAAGAAGACCAAACAAAUAAACUUUUGUGAGUUGGCUCUCAGUGUUUACAGAUGGAUGUCAGUAUCCAUCCAUAUUAGAUGAUUGGCAGGAUUGGGACCUUACACUGCAGCGGCCUUUUCUACUUAUGCAUCAAAUGUAAUAAGCCGGGGGUUUGAAUAAAACUGCUAAUUUAAUAAAAAUAUAAUUUGAUUAAUUUAUGCCAUAAUUUACAUAAAAUGAAAGGAUUAUUUUAAAUUCAUGCUGAAAAUAGAUGAACUGCCACUUGAAGCCUGUCUGCUUUCAAAAUAUCCAUUGUGCUUUGUUCUCAGAGUGUAAGUUAGUUAAAAUUACAGCCUGUAGAAUAGAGCAAAAAUAACAAAUAAAAACUUUGGAGAAGAGGAGGGCAACACAGAAUUGUUAUUUCCUUUCCAGAGGCAGAAAUAGCAGUACAUUUCUGUAAGGAACUGCAGUUUCCAGUUAUUUUUGCUCAGUGAGUCUUUUCUUGUUUGGUAAAUUCUUGACUUCUGUGACUAAGGUUUGGUCAUUUUUUUUCUCUAGGUGAUAUCUAAUGGUUAGAACUUACAUAGCAUUUUUCCCAAAGUACAUUUUGUAUAGGUAACAGAAAUGCCAGUAAAAUUAACUAGUAAACUUCCUUGCUAAACAAGGUGCCACAUGAUAAAGAGGCCAUACAGCAAGCUUACAGAAAUGAGGGAAUAUUUUGAACUGAGUAGUGUGUCAGUGGAGGUCAAUAUUAGGUACACCUGUAAAGCUGUAGCCCAAUUUGCAGAAGUUCUGUUACUGUCACUGUUCAAAGCUCCUAAUUUAUAUCAGGAAUACAAUUUUAUGAAACAUAAUUAAGUAGGAAGAAAAAAGCAGGAGUAAGAUACUGUGAGAUUAUCACACCUCUAGGUUUUUACUGAACAUCAAAUUGACUGUAAAGGCCUAAACAGCCCAUUCAUAGAACAGUUUAAUGGUUACAACCAUAAAACUAUUAAUCUCUUUUAUCUAUUCAGCCAGCUUUUGGAGCAUUAGACAUGAAUAUAAAUAUAUUCUGCCUUUUGGUUUUCAAAUCUGACAUUUAACUGCAAAAAAUGAAGUCAGAUGCUAUAACUGCAUUAUGUUUUCUUUCUUUAAAAUAGCAAUUUCUGAGAAGGAAAAGGAAAAAUAGUAUUCCUUCUCUGCCAACUAGUAUAAUGUCUAUAUCAGCAAAGCUAGGCUAGAUAAAGAGAUGAAUUUAAUGCAAAGUUUCAUCCUCUCUGCUUCAUAUUCAGUAGGCAAGAGUAUGACUUGCUAAGAUUGUAAAAGUGAAGAAAAAGCAUAAACAUGUUUUAAAUCAAGAAAAAUGGCUUCUCAGAUCAUUUGAAAAAGAUGGGUAGAUGCUGCUGUAAAACUGGUUUUUGGACUAAGGGGCCCCAGUAGGCCCCACACUUUUUUUUAGUUUGUUUGGUUUUUAGGUGGAUCACCACCAAUUUUUCAUGGACUACAACCCCCUCUUACCAUUAGAUGUAAAUACAGUGGGUUCCAUGGACCUACCAUGUAAUAGGGCCUCUCUCCAUGGACUACAAAUUGGGAUCUGGCAUUAUAGUAAAGCUCCCAAUCUGCAGUUUUGCAAUGGAGGCCAAGCUUCAUGGAAAAUAUCUGCUGGUAAAUUCAGGAAGGGAUUAGCAUAGGAUUUACUACAGUGUUCUCUGUUUCUUGGCUUUUCCGUAGGAAAGCACAAUUGUUUAACUUUUAAAUAGUCCCUACUUGCCAGAGUUGGUAUUGCUUUGAGAGAACUAAGAAUAGAGUCCUGGGAGCUGAUCUCAGAACUAUUUCUCUGCUGAAAUUAACGGUGGACUCUUCUAAAAAUGGAUGGCCUUAUAUAGACAGAAUAAGGUCAAAUAGAUUUGGUCCAGUAUUUAUGUAUCAUAUAAUUUGAUUGUUAGUUUGCAGAAAAAUAGGAGAAUAUCAGAUACCUUUCUAUUUCAGAAAUAAAAAAUCUACACUUUAAGAAGAGUAUGUGUUGCUAAAAUUUCCUCUCAACUGAACUAAAAAAUAGAAAUUAUAGCCUCAGUGUUCUAUGCUAUGUAUCUUCUUAGUCUUUCUGCUUGUAUCCUCUGCAUAUUUUUCAUCCUAACAAAGACAUAUUGAUAAUUUUUAUUGAACAUAAAUAAUGUGAUAUUCAAAAUAUGAAAAGUUUCUAAAAUUAUAAACUCAGUAUUAGUACUGAUAAUGUAAUUGAGAUAUUUGAGUUCUCUUUCAAUUCUUACUAUGUAUCCUCCAACCCCCCCCCCCAAAUCCUUUGAGUAUUGUUUUAACUGCCUUUUCCAUUGAAAUGCUCUUUUAAACCUGAAAAUAUAUCCUAAAUUUGAUUCUGUUCCAAACAUUUGUUUAGCAUAAUUGACUGAUGGUCACCCAUUUCUGGACCAUAGUUUAUUACAGUAAAAAUAUAAAUGAAUUCUCAGUGUAAUUUUCUAAGAUUUCUGUAAAGGAAAUGCAGUACCCUCUUUGUAUUACAGAAUAAGCAUGUAUUCUAAUCCCAGCUUUGCUACUAUCUUUUCUCUGUAACUUUGGACAAGUCUAUCUUCUUGUUUUGUAAAAUAGGCUAAUAUUAACUUGCCACCCAGUAAUUUGAUAAGGCCGAGUGAAUGUUUGCAAAGUACUCUGAGAACUUCAGAUGGAAAAUGUUAUUAAAGUCCAAAGCACUGUUAGCCAAAGAGGAUAUUUACUGUAGGUGCUUGUUUUAUGUAGUGAAAUAAAAGUGUUGAAGUAUAUAACCAGAUGACCAAGACUGAUCUAAAAGUAAAUGCAGGAGACAUUUUUUGACCUUUCAACAGAAAUUAUACAAGCACUCUUAGGUUAUAAAUAGCUCUUUGUUUUCCUUCUCUUUGUUUAACGCUGAAAAGAAACACAGGGUUAGUUGUUUGUUAUGAAGAGAUAGGGUAAUGCUUUAGAGUGGAAACAAUUGUUCACUGUUCUUUAUUUAUACACUUCCUAUAAUGUUAGGAACGAGCAUUUGUUGCUUUUCUUAGCACUUUAUCUUCAAAAAGCUGCAGAAAUAAAGUUUCUGGUUCUGAAAAUAACAACACCAGAAAAAAAAGAAAACACACACUAACCCAUUUCAAGUAUGAAAGUUGCUUAUCUCUUUCCUGGUUUGAUCUAUGGCUGAAGAACAGAAAAGUCAGUGCUAAACUUAUUGUUAAACUGGCACAUAAACACUUGUGUAUUAUUUCCUAUUUUUAUCAUAAAUCUUCAAAAAUAAGACAUAAAAUAUGUACACCCUUAAAUGAAAGAUUGUAUAUAAGCUUUAGGAAAAUGACAUUGCAAUCCUCUGAGGAUGAUAUAUGCAUGCAUGUAUGUGUCCAUGUAUAUGUAUGUAUGUGUGUGUGUGUGUGUGCGCGCUUUAUAUUUCCAAAUAUGCUUAUUUUCAACAAUGGCCAUUUCCUUGGACAAUCAGUAACUUGCUUAACUAAUAGUAAUUUGUUAAUAGAAAUGUCUAGCAAACAGAAAGUCCUUGAAGUCUUGUCCGGAAAUUCAGGUAAUUGAGAUCAGCAAGAAAGCAAAAGUAUGAAAAUGCCACUUACCUUUUUUACCUUUUUUGUGCUCCUUCUUGUUAUGUUUUCUUUGGGUUUUGUACUAUGGGAAUAAUAUCCUUCACAUUACAAUGUACUUGAAGUAAAUGGCUUUAUUAGUUACCACA